Long non-coding RNA from Dama dama (fallow deer), 1210 nucleotides. RefSeq lists it as uncharacterized. The transcript is spliced from 2 exons. NCBI's taxonomy places the organism in Eukaryota, Metazoa, Chordata, Mammalia, Artiodactyla, Cervidae. The record is from RefSeq and is a predicted model, not a curated record.
GGAAGCCCUAAGCGGGCCCUCUCUCGCCCGGGGCUGGUCGCCCAUCCCCCAUUGCUCCGAGGGGCGAAGGGGCAGCCGGUGUCACCCAGCUUGCCUACGUCACCGCGGGUCCCGAGGUCCGAGUCCCUUCCCCGGGCUGGUAAGCCCUGCUCCCUUCCCUGACCUCAAGGCGCUCUUCGGAAUCUGCGAAGGAAGCAGUUGGGGGCACGGUGCCCGCGAGCUGGGGCGCAGGCCACCGACAUCUGUCCCCUGGUCCCUCCCCGAGCUUGGGGUCAGAACAGAGAUGAGAGACCAGAGGAGAAAGGAAACUCGCCUUUGGGCAUGAUGCCCACGCCGGGAAAGCACUGGCCGACUCUUCGCGGCGCAGGCAUCAUCCCGAUCUUCAUUUUACAGUUGAGGGGAGCCAAGACUCAGCGUGGGGCUGACAAGUUCGCAGGAAAUAAGGAGACGCAACCACAGGCUGGAAAGAUGGAGAAGAGGAGAGAUGAGUAACCAGGAGAGAACCAAUGAGAUGGGCUGGCAGCACCGGAUGAUCCAUGGGGCCAUGGGAAGGCGGGCGACGAAGGCCUACUCAGCAUCUUCAGCUGUUCCCUGGCCCUCCCUGCCAUCUGGACGCCUCCGCUAGGGGAUGUGCUGCUGGCACAGAAGAGAUGCGAGAGGUAGAGGCCAAAGAAGCUGAGCUUGGAGGCUCCAGUGACCCAGGGACGUGGAGACCCUCCCUUUGCCCCUUCGGGGCCUAAGUCUGUGGAUGCUGACCGCCCUCAGCCCACCCCCAAUAACUGGGAAUUUUCCUCUUUGGCUAGUUACGGUGGUGGGGUUCUCUGCCUCUGCCUGCCACGAAAUCGAGUCUUAGACAGACUUUCCCUCUGCACCCUCAUGCCCCUCCCUUGGUGCAUGGUCUGUUCAGAAGCAGUAUCUUUGGGAAGAGGCCUGGCUCCUAAAUCCCAAGCCUGCCACUUACUAGCUAGAGACCCUGAACUAGUGCCGUCCCCCUUUUGAAUCUCCUUUCUUCCCAAAUGGAGGGAGGCCAUCUACUUUUCUGAAUUGUCAUGAGGAUGGAAAGAAAUAACAGAUGGUAAGCCUCACACACAGUAACAAUGAAUGGUGACCCCACCCCCACACCUUCUCCUUUCUGGGUCUCCUCCCCAGGGCAGUUGACCCAGCAGUGCUCAAGAAUAAACCAAGGCUCUUUGAGAGCCAUAGGAGAGGA